GGUUUUACCUGGUGGUGUGAGGGACGUGACUACAGGAAUAGCCGAGGUGCGCAGAAUCACGGUUUGUCCUCUGGUGUCGGCACGUGCUGUCUAAGCGAGUCAGAAUUCACCGAUGUUGGAUUCACCCACUAAUAGGGGACGGGGCUGGGUUUAGACCGUCGUGAGACGGGUAAGUUUGACUCUUCGGAUGAGAGGUUGUCGUG
This 203-nucleotide ribosomal RNA is filed under the name Cryptomonas paramaecium. RNAcentral's name for it is "Cryptomonas paramecium partial Eukaryotic large subunit ribosomal RNA". It matches the Rfam family "Eukaryotic large subunit ribosomal RNA", at positions 2789 to 3015 of the family's 3401-position model. Lineage: Eukaryota; Cryptophyceae; Cryptomonadales; Cryptomonadaceae. The record is from RNAcentral.